CUCUGUACCGUAAUACCCUGUAUAUAGUCUCCACAUGGACUCUGUACCGUAAUACCCUGUAUAUAGCCUCCACAUUGACUCUGUACCGGUACCCCCUGUAUUUCACCCCUCUAUUUGUAUUUACUGCUGCUCUUUAAUUAUUUGUUAUUCUUAUCUCUUACUUUUUUAUGUGUAUUUUCUUAAAACUGCAUUGUUGGUUAAGGACUUGUAAGUAAGCAUUUCACUGUAAGGUCUACCUACACCAGUUGUAUUCAGCAUUUCACUGUAAGGUCUACUACACCUGCUGUAUUCAGCAUUUCACUGUAAGGUCUACUACACCUGUUGUAUUCAGCAUUUCACUGUAAGGUCUACCUACACCAGUUGUAUUCAGCAUUUCACUGUAAGGUCUACCUACACCUGUUGUAUUCAGCAUUUCACUGUAAGGUCUACUACACCUGUUGUAUUCAGCAUUUCACUGUAAGGUCUACUACACCUGUUGUAUUCAGCAUUUCACUGUAAGGUCUACCUACACCAGUUGUAUUUAGCAUUUCACUGUAAGGUCUAC
Oncorhynchus tshawytscha (Chinook salmon) is the source of this 544-nucleotide long non-coding RNA. The record is from Ensembl. Lineage: Eukaryota; Metazoa; Chordata; Actinopteri; Salmoniformes; Salmonidae.